RNAcentral lists this long non-coding RNA (411 nucleotides) under Penaeus japonicus. RNAcentral describes it as "uncharacterized LOC122252481". The record is from RNAcentral. Lineage: Eukaryota; Metazoa; Arthropoda; Malacostraca; Decapoda; Penaeidae.
GCUCGCCGCCGUGAGCAACAGCCUCUUGUCCUCGUCUCCUUGAAAGUGGCGGCCUCUUACCUUAACCUCUUUUUUGAGGAACUGUUUUUCAAGACCAUGGUGAUGGUGUCUGGCAUCGACUCAGCGAGGUUGCUGUCCUCGCCUCCAUGGCCACGUUUGUCGGGCUGAGUUAGGUGGCCACUCUCCGACGGCGGAGUCGAGCGCGGCGUCGCAUUUCCAGUCCGCAGGAGCCGAGGGCGGCGCGGGUGAAACCAACGGGAUUGGCGCUCGCUCUCAUACUCGCCCUCGCCUCCGUGGCCAUGGCCGCCAAGCUGCCCUUGACCAACCUUCCCGUGGCCAUCCUGAGGAGCAGCCAAGUCAACCCCGACGAGUUCGGCGCCCACAGCUCCGACUUCGAGGCCGAGAACGGCA